GACUACAGGGGUAUCUAAUCCUGUUUGCUCCCCACGCUUUCGCGCCUCAGCGUCAGUCAAGUGCCAGAAGGCCGCCUUCGCCACAGACCUUCCUCCUGAUAUCUACGCAUUUCACCGCUACACCAGGAAUUCCGCCUUCCCCUCACCGACUCAAGUAAUGCAGUUUCCAAGGCAGCUCUACAGUUGAGCUGUAGCAUUCCACCCCAGACUUACACCACCGCCUACGCGCCCUUUAAGCCCAGUAAUUCCGAACAACGCUCGCCACCUCUGUCUUACCGCGGCUGCUGGCACAGAGUUAGCCGUGGCUUAUUCGUCAGGUACCAUCACCAUUGUCCCUGACAAAAGGAGUUUACAACCCGAAGGCCGUCAUCCUCCACGCGGCGUCGCUGCAUCAGGGUUUCCCCCAUUGUGCAAUAUUCCCCACUGCAGCCUCCCGUAGG
This 440-nucleotide ribosomal RNA is filed under the name uncultured bacterium. RNAcentral describes it as "partial 16S ribosomal RNA". The record is from RNAcentral.